ACUCCUACGGGAGGCAGCAGUGGGGAAUUUUGCGCAAUGGGGGAAACCCUGACGCAGCAACGCCGCGUGAGUGAUGAAGGCUUUCGGGUCGUAAAGCUCUGUCAGAAGGGAAGAAAUGUAAUUGUGCUAAUAUCAUGGUUACUUGACGGUACCCUCAAAGGAAGCACCGGCUAACUCCGUGCCAGCAGCCGCGGUAAUACGGAGGGUGCAAGCGUUGUUCGGAAUUAUUGGGCGUAAAGCGCGUGUAGGCGGUUUGUUAAGUCUGAUGUGAAAGCCCCGGGCUCAACCUGGGAAGUGCAUUGGAAACUGGCAGACUUGAAUACGGGAGAGGGUAGUGGAAUUCCUAGUGUAGGAGUGAAAUCCGUAGAUAUUAGGAGGAACACCGGUGGCGAAGGCGGCUGCCUGGACCGAUAUUGACGCUGAGACGCGAAAGCGUGGGGAGCAAACAGGAUUAGAUACCCUGGUAGUCCACGCCGUAAACGAUGAGAACUAGGUGUUGCGGGUA
This 505-nucleotide ribosomal RNA is filed under the name uncultured Geobacter sp. Its description in RNAcentral is "bacterial SSU rRNA". It matches the Rfam family "Bacterial small subunit ribosomal RNA", at positions 335 to 831 of the family's 1533-position model. Lineage: Bacteria; Pseudomonadati; Thermodesulfobacteriota; Desulfuromonadia; Geobacterales; Geobacteraceae. The record is from RNAcentral.